This 253-nucleotide ribosomal RNA is filed under the name uncultured bacterium. RNAcentral's name for it is "partial 16S ribosomal RNA". It matches the Rfam family "Bacterial small subunit ribosomal RNA", at positions 524 to 776 of the family's 1533-position model. The record is from RNAcentral.
UACAGAGGUCUCAACCGUUGUUCGGAUUCAUUGGGCGUAAAGGGUGCGUAGGUGGCGCUGUAAGUCGGGUGUGAAAUUUCGGAGCUUAACUCCGAAACUGCAUUCGAUACUGCGGUGCUUGAGGACUGGAGAGGAGACUGGAAUUUAUGGUGUAGCAGUGAAAUGCGUAGAGAUCAUAAGGAAGACCAGUGGCGAAGGCGGGUCUCUGGACAGUUCCUGACACUGAGGCACGAAGGCCAGGGGAGCAAACGGG